RNAcentral lists this transfer RNA (73 nucleotides) under Loxodonta africana (African savanna elephant). It matches the Rfam family "tRNA". Rfam says of the family: Transfer RNA (tRNA) molecules are approximately 80 nucleotides in length. Their secondary structure includes four short double-helical elements and three loops (D, anti-codon, and T loops). The record is from Rfam by way of RNAcentral. Lineage: Eukaryota; Metazoa; Chordata; Mammalia; Proboscidea; Elephantidae.
GCCCUGGUGGCCCAGUGGUUAAAGGCGCUUGGCCGCUAACCAAAAGGUCUGUGGUUCAAACCCAGCAGCUGCU